CUAAUGGGACAUUUUAACAUUUUUUCUUAAUGUUGACUGUGCUUGUGUUUUCCUCAUUGUUUUUGUCUCCACAUUAGACAUUGGAGAGGAUGUCCUUUGAACUUAAGUGAGCUAAAGAAGCAAAAUCGGCAAACUGAGGAUGGCUGGUGUCAAGGACGGCACUCGAGUCGUCUUUUUUCAUAUAAAGAAUUCUUUUUAAAGGUCUGCCUUCUUUCUGCUGGUACCAGUGGAUGUAGUCGUACUGUGUCAACCCUGAAGCUCUGCAGGGAAUGGAGGCCAACGAACCCUGGCUGAUUGUUACAGAUGUUUCCUGAAUCAGUGUUUGGGACACGGCCUCUGAAAUAAAAACACAUGGAUGUAGUAAAAUUAUUUUCCU
This 376-nucleotide long non-coding RNA is filed under the name Scleropages formosus (Asian bonytongue). Its description in RNAcentral is "lncRNA (ENSSFOG00015024856.1)". Lineage: Eukaryota; Metazoa; Chordata; Actinopteri; Osteoglossiformes; Osteoglossidae. The record is from RNAcentral.